GGUUCUAUAGAGUAGUGCUUAGCACGUCUGCUUUACAUGCAGAAGUUCCUGGGUUUGAGCCCCGGUGGCGCCA
This 73-nucleotide transfer RNA is filed under the name Pteropus alecto (black flying fox). It matches the Rfam family "tRNA". From Rfam's summary of the family: Transfer RNA (tRNA) molecules are approximately 80 nucleotides in length. Lineage: Eukaryota; Metazoa; Chordata; Mammalia; Chiroptera; Pteropodidae. The record is from Rfam by way of RNAcentral.